Molecule: ribosomal RNA, 515 nt
Filed under: uncultured bacterium
Lineage: Bacteria
Description: bacterial SSU rRNA
Rfam family: Bacterial small subunit ribosomal RNA
Source: RNAcentral
CACGGUAAACGAUGGAUGCCCGCUGUAUGCGAUAUACUGUAUGCGGCCAAGCGAAAGCGUUAAGCAUCCCACCUGGGGAGUACGCCGGCAACGGUGAAACUCAAAGGAAUUGACGGGGGCCCGCACAAGCGGAGGAACAUGUGGUUUAAUUCGAUGAUACGCGAGGAACCUUACCCGGGCUUGAACUGCAGGAGAACGAUUCAGAGAUGAUGAGGCCCUUCGGGGCUCCUGUGGAGGUGCUGCAUGGUUGUCGUCAGCUCGUGCCGUGAGGUGUCGGCUUAAGUGCCAUAACGAGCGCAACCCCUGCGACUAGUUGCCAUCAGGUAAAGCUGGGCACUCUGGUUGGACUGCCACCGUAAGGUGUGAGGAAGGUGGGGAUGACGUCAAAUCAGCACGGCCCUUACGUCCGGGGCUACACACGUGUUACAAUGGGAGGUACAGAGAGAUGGUGUUCCGCAAGGCGCAUCUAAUCCUAAAAGCCUUCCUCAGUUCGGAUUGGGGUCUGCAACCCGACC